UGGAAAUAACAUAUGCUUUCCAGACAGCAAUAAAGAGCUACGUUUGAAUGAAAUAGCUUUGCUCUUUGCAGCAGAGAAACAGAUUUUCCAGACUAAGGAGAGCUCCAUGUUGCCAAGGCCAGACUGCUUCCAGUAGCUGAUGUGGAACCUUUGAAGCAAGCUCUAUUCUCAUAGAAACAACCCAGUAGUGAAUGAAAGCAGCAUAAUUUCACCCCAUUAGAAUCACAAUUUUUUUUAAUAAUCUCACAUGAAAUGUUCGAGACCUGAUUGGAAGAUACAGCAUCUCCAGCCAUUACUUCAACCUGGAGUGAUGGGUCUGGGCUAAUUCAAAUACAGGUGGGAGGAAGGAGGAAGGGUAGAAGGGAAGGAAGCAGGGAGAUGUUCAAUGAGAUGAACAAGCUAGAAUACCUUGAUAAAGGAAAGGUAUGGCCAUCAAAAAUCACAGCCACCAUAUUCUGAAACAGCAUGGAACAAUCAGUUUUCUGGCAGGGAAUGCUCCCUGCCCUCUUCCAUUUACACUUAUAGCUGUAAAUUCAAUGAGCUCAUAAUGAGUAAUGGUGCAAUUUUGUGCUGGGAAGAGAAACUAACUGAAACAUUUGGUAACAAAUAAGUGAAAACUCUAAAUGGAAAGCCAUGUGAAAUGGCUGAAGAGUUGCAAAUGAAGCUUGUAAAAUUAUUUCUUUAUUAGACUAGAAAGUUUCUGAAGCAUGACCUGAGAAAUAAAUAACAAUAAUGAAUGCUUGAAUGGAGUAUCAUUUUAAAAAAUGAAAACAAGCAAACAUAUUUUAAAGAGAGAGAAUUUCCAUGUAAAUAGAGUUUUGGAGCGCUGGAGCAGCAGAACCAGAAGUAGUGUAAGGUCACUUGCAAAAGUGAGGAAUUAAACAGGACUUGUGGGAUCUUCUGCCCAGCUUCAAGAUAAAAAAGGUGUUUCAGAAAUUGGAAUAUACUCUGUAGCAUAUUUCUACAUUGAGAGUCUUUUGUAUCUCAUGAACUGGGAAUUUCUUCUUCUCUAAGGUGAAUUUUAUAUGAAGAUUCUGCUGCCUUAUGUCAAGAAAGUUCUCAGUUCCAAGCAGGUGAAAACUUAUUAUUCAUUCAGGUAUUAAAUAAGAAAAUAAACAAAACAAUAAAUAAUGGAAAAUCAAAGUCUUAGGAGGGAUGAACAAAGCUGCUUAUUACCUGGCAUAUUACCUCUUUCACAUAAUUACCUGUUUUCACAUAUUACCUGUUUCACAUAAUAUUUUACCAUCAUUCAGCCACAUUCUAAAAAAAAAAAAGAGUCUGUGGUCAUCAUCCUCUCUUUAAAAUAAAUGUUUUUGAUCAGCAGCAGUCUUUUCUGAAACUGGCAGAAGGGUAUAAACCUAUUAAAGCUCUUUUAUGGUGUUCUUUUAUUGUAGUUCUCUACUUAUAACUCUUCAUCACA
Centrocercus urophasianus (Greater sage-grouse) is the source of this 1420-nucleotide long non-coding RNA. RefSeq lists it as uncharacterized. NCBI's taxonomy places the organism in Eukaryota, Metazoa, Chordata, Aves, Galliformes, Phasianidae. The record is from RefSeq and is a predicted model, not a curated record. The transcript is spliced from 4 exons.